CGGCCGCGCGGAUGGCGCUGGCCACGUCGUCGGCGCUGGCCGGCCGGACGACGGCCGCGGGGCGCGCGCUCACGAGGCCGCCGAAGUCCUUCGCCGCCGCGCACUCGGCCGCGUCGGCGGUGACCACGGUCAGCUCGAGAGCGUCCCGCUCUGUGGCGGCGGCGGCGGCGCGGUCCAUGUACGCGAGCAUCAUCUUGGGCAAGCAGCUUCUCUUCUCGCUGUGUCUGUGAUGAGUUUGUGUAGCUGAGCUGAGGAGAGCAGAGCAGAGCAGAGCUCUCUGUUUUGUGAUGUCACUCGCGCUCUGUCUCCGGCUGUGUUGCGGUCGUGUGGGUCGAGGGGUUUAUAUCGAGAGGACACGCGGACGUCGAUAGCCAUCAC
RNAcentral lists this long non-coding RNA (378 nucleotides) under Hordeum vulgare. RNAcentral describes it as "long non-coding RNA (HVUL_LNC020652)". Lineage: Eukaryota; Viridiplantae; Streptophyta; Magnoliopsida; Poales; Poaceae. The record is from RNAcentral.